RNAcentral lists this small nucleolar RNA (134 nucleotides) under Sorex araneus (European shrew). RNAcentral's name for it is "Small nucleolar RNA SNORA61 (ENSSARG00000019833.1)". Lineage: Eukaryota; Metazoa; Chordata; Mammalia; Eulipotyphla; Soricidae. The record is from RNAcentral.
ACUGUCGCGGUCACCUCCCCAUGGAAUCUUAACACUGGACUCGGUGGUCGUAAAAGGAGGAAGAGUAAAUACUGGAGCUCGCGUCACAGGGCUCGGAGCCUGCGAAGUAACGCACGGAUUUGUUUCAAACAAGG